This 433-nucleotide ribosomal RNA is filed under the name uncultured bacterium. Its description in RNAcentral is "partial 16S ribosomal RNA". It matches the Rfam family "Bacterial small subunit ribosomal RNA", at positions 29 to 507 of the family's 1533-position model. The record is from RNAcentral.
AACGAACGCUGGCGGCAUGCCUAACACAUGCAAGUCGAACGAUGCCUUCGGGCAUAGUGGCGCACGGGUGCGUAACGCGUGGGAAUCUGCCUUUCGGUUCGGAAUAACUCAGGGAAACUUGAGCUAAUACCGGAUAACGUCGCAAGACCAAAGAUUUAUCACCGAAAGAUGGGCCCGCGUAGGAUUAGCUAGUUGGUGAGGUAAAGGCUCACCAAGGCGACGAUCCUUAGCUGGUCUGAGAGGAUGAUCAGCCACACUGGGACUGAGACACGGCCCAGACUGCUACGGAAGGCAGCAGUGGGGAAUAUUGGACGAUGGGCGAAAGCCUGAUGCAGCAAUGCCGCGUGAGUGAUGAAGGCCGUAGGGUUGUAAAGCUCUUUUACCCGGGAAGAUAAUGACGGUACCGGGAGAAUAAGCCCCGGCUAACUCCGUG